Molecule: ribosomal RNA, 444 nt
Filed under: uncultured bacterium
Lineage: Bacteria
Description: SSU rRNA
Rfam family: Bacterial small subunit ribosomal RNA
Source: RNAcentral
AGAAUGAACGCUGGCGGCAUGCCUAACACAUGCAAGUCGAACGAGACCUUCGGGUCUAGUGGCGCACGGGUGCGUAACGCGUGGGAAUCUGCCCUUGGGUUCGGAAUAACAGUGGGAAACUACUGCUAAUACCGGAUAAUGACGUAAGUCCAAAGAUUUAUCGCCCAGGGAUGAGCCCGCGUAAGAUUAGCUAGUUGGUGGGGUAAAGGCCUACCAAGGCGACGAUCUUUAGCUGGUCUGAGAGGAUGAUCAGCCACACUGGGACUGAGACACGGCCCAGACUCCUACGGGAGGCAGCAGUGGGGAAUAUUGGACAAUGGGCGAAAGCCUGAUCCAGCAAUGCCGCGUGAGUGAUGAAGGCCUUAGGGUUGUAAAGCUCUUUUACCCGGGAAGAUAAUGACUGUACCGGAGAAUAGCCCCGGCUAACUCCGUGCCAGCAGCCGC